Molecule: small nucleolar RNA, 142 nt
Filed under: Xenopus laevis (African clawed frog)
Lineage: Eukaryota; Metazoa; Chordata; Amphibia; Anura; Pipidae
Description: Small nucleolar RNA SNORA64/SNORA10 family
Rfam family: Small nucleolar RNA SNORA64/SNORA10 family
About the family: This family belongs to the H/ACA class of small nucleolar RNAs (snoRNAs) which act as guides in the the modification of uridines to pseudouridines. This family includes the human snoRNAs U64 and ACA10 and mouse MBI-29.
Source: Rfam by way of RNAcentral
AUUCUCUCAGCUCUGCUCAGUUGCGCUUGUCCCUGUAGUGUAAUUGGCUUUAACUAGAGAGAGAGAGAGUGACUUGUUCUUUAUGCACGGCAGGCUGGCCUCCUAACAUGGUCUUCCUGUUCCUUAAUGAGGAUCUACAUGC